CUUGUUUCAUCUCUACAAGUUUGGGCCCUUGUUUCUACAGUUUGGGAGAGUUCUUUGUAGUUUUAGUUGUUUACAAUGAGCCUCGUGGAUCAUCAAAAUGCGAGGAUUUACUCUCCACAGAUGCAGCAAGUUUUGGAUCUUUAGCAGAUGACUGACAAACUAUGGCGUGUAUCGUUAUAUUAUUCUUUGGACUAGUUCUUGUAAGUGUACUAUGCGGAGAUUUGAAAGUAUUUAAAGUGUAUAAUAGGUUCAAGUGAAAGUAGAGG
This 266-nucleotide long non-coding RNA is filed under the name Capsicum annuum. RNAcentral's name for it is "long non-coding RNA (CANN_LNC014875)". Lineage: Eukaryota; Viridiplantae; Streptophyta; Magnoliopsida; Solanales; Solanaceae. The record is from RNAcentral.